GAUGAACGCUGGCGGCGUGCCUAAUACAUGCAAGUCGAGCGAACAGACGAGGAGCUUGCUCCUCUGACGUUAGCGGCGGACGGGUGAGUAACACGUGGAUAACCUACCUAUAAGACUGGGAUAACUUCGGGAAACCGGAGCUAAUACCGGAUAAUAUAUUGAACCGCAUGGUUCAAUAGUGAAAGACGGUUUUGCUGUCACUUAUAGAUGGAUCCGCGCCGCAUUAGCUAGUUGGUAAGGUAACGGCUUACCAAGGCAACGAUGCGUAGCCGACCUGAGAGGGUGAUCGGCCGCACUGGAACUGAGACACGGUCCAGACUCCUACGGGAGGCAGCAGUAGCGAAUCUUCCGCAAUGGGCGAAAGCCUGACGGAGCAACGCCGCGUGAGUGAUGAAGGUCUUCGGAUCGUAAAACUCUGUUAUUAGGGAAGAACAAAUGUGUAAGUAACUAUGCACGUCUUGACGGUACCUAAUCAGAAAGCCACGGCUAACUACGUG
This 497-nucleotide ribosomal RNA is filed under the name uncultured bacterium. RNAcentral describes it as "partial 16S ribosomal RNA". It matches the Rfam family "Bacterial small subunit ribosomal RNA", at positions 28 to 507 of the family's 1533-position model. The record is from RNAcentral.